AGCAGCCGCGGUAAUUCCAGCUCCAAUAGCGUAUAUUAAAGUUGUUGCAGUUAAAAAGCUCGUAGUUGAAUUUCGGGAUCAGUACGCUCGUCGUGCCUUCGGUAUGCACUGGUUUCACUGAUUCCUCCCUUCUGAAGAACCGUAAUGCCAUUCAGUUGGUGUGGCGGGGAAUCAGGAUUGUUACUUUGAAAAAAUUAGAGUGUUUAAAGCAGGCUCGCGCUUGAAUACAUUAGCAUGGAAUAAUGAAAUAGGACGUUUGAUCCUAUUUUGUUGGUUUCUAGGAUUGACGUAAUGAUUAAUAGGGAUAGUUGGGGGCAUUAGUAUUCAAUUGUCAGAGGUGAAAUUCUUGGAUUUAUUGAAGACUAACUACUGCGAAAGCAUUUGCCAAGGAUGUUUUCAUUAAUCAAGAACGAAGUUAGGGGAUCGAAGACGAUCAGAUACCGUCGUAGU
RNAcentral lists this ribosomal RNA (450 nucleotides) under uncultured Glomus. Its description in RNAcentral is "SSU rRNA". It matches the Rfam family "Eukaryotic small subunit ribosomal RNA", at positions 569 to 1024 of the family's 1831-position model. The record is from RNAcentral. Lineage: Eukaryota; Fungi; Glomeromycota; Glomeromycetes; Glomerales; Glomeraceae.